This 927-nucleotide non-coding RNA is filed under the name Chamaeleo calcaricarens (Awash chameleon). The record is from RNAcentral. Lineage: Eukaryota; Metazoa; Chordata; Lepidosauria; Squamata; Chamaeleonidae.
UGAGAGUUUUGGUCCUGGACUUUCCGUUAUUUAUGAUUAAGAUUACACAUGCAAGUAUCCACACUCCAGUGAGUCCGCCCAAAUCACUAUAGGAGCAGGCAUCAGGCACAACCUAUCUUAUCAGCCCAUAACGCCAAGAUACCCACACCCACACGGGUAUACAGCAGUGACCAAUAUUAGGCCAUGAGUUAACGCUCGACCUAACUAUACUCUAAGGGGGUCAGCAAACUUCGUGCCAGCCGCCGCGGUUAUACGAAGCGACCACAAAUAACGAACAGCGGCAAAAAGCGUGAGCACACAUUCAACAUACUAAGCACCAACCGGAACUAAUACGUAAAACCAAAGCCCAAUUCGAACACCGACACAGAGCUUAAACACAAGAAAUUUUAAACUCACGAAAACUGAGACACAAACUAGGAUUAGAUACCCUACUAUGCUCAAUCAUAAACAUCGAUUUUACUUUUUUAUCCGCCAGAGAACAACGAGCAAAGCUUAAAACCCAAAGGACUUGGCGGCGCUUCAUACCACCCUAGAGGGGCCUGUCACAUAAUCGAUAACCCACGAUACACCUUACCACUUUUAGCCACUACAGCCUAUAUACCGCCGUCGCCAGCCCAUCUUGAUAAAGGAACAAAAUGGACCAAAAAGUAUUUACACUCAUACGACAGGUCAAGGUGUAGCUUAUAAAAUGGUAAAUGAUGGACCACAUUGCUUAAUAAAGCUACACCAAAACUGCACUGAAACACACACUUUAAGGUGAAUUUAACAGUAAGACAAACAAGAAAAUCUGUCUAAAGUAUGCUCUGAAGCGUGCACACACCGCCCGUCACCCUACUUUACUCACUACCAACAAAAAUAUUACAACAACAAAAACAAGAGUAGGAAAGUCGUAACAAGGUAAGCGCACCGGAAGGUGUGCUUGGAAGA